This 160-nucleotide ribosomal RNA is filed under the name Dicranum fragilifolium. RNAcentral's name for it is "5.8S ribosomal RNA". The stretch from base 1 to 97 matches the Rfam family "5.8S ribosomal RNA", at positions 57 to 154 of the family's 154-position model. Rfam says of the family: 5.8S ribosomal RNA (5.8S rRNA) is a component of the large subunit of the eukaryotic ribosome. The record is from RNAcentral. Lineage: Eukaryota; Viridiplantae; Streptophyta; Bryopsida; Dicranales; Dicranaceae.
GAUACGUAGUGUGAAUUGCAGAAUUCCGCGAAUCAUCGAGUCUUUGAACGCAAGUUGCGCCCGAGGCUUGACCAAGGGCAUCCCUGCCAGAGCGUCGCCGCGACACCCACCAAUCCACUCCCAGCUCGACUGGGAGUGCGACUGAGUGAAACUGGCCAUC